Molecule: ribosomal RNA, 337 nt
Filed under: uncultured bacterium
Lineage: Bacteria
Description: SSU rRNA
Rfam family: Bacterial small subunit ribosomal RNA
Source: RNAcentral
AGAACGAACGCUGGCGGCGUGGAUAAGACAUGCAAGUCGAACGGAAUUGCUAGAUAGCAAUAUCAAACAAUUUAGUGGCGAACGGGUGCGUAACACGUGGAUUACAUUCCGGAAAGCGAGGAAUAGCCCAGGGAAACUUGGAUUAAUACCUCAUGUGGUCGUAAGACUAAAAGUGCAAGCUGCUUUCCGAUUGGUCCGCGGCCUAUCAGCUAGUUGGCGGGGUAAGAGCCCACCAAGGCAACGACGGGUAGCUGGUCUUAGAGGACGACCAGCCACACUGGAACUGAGACACGGUCCAGACACCUACGGGUGGCAGCAGUCGAGAAUCUUUCACAAU